RNAcentral lists this ribosomal RNA (253 nucleotides) under uncultured bacterium. Its description in RNAcentral is "partial 16S ribosomal RNA". It matches the Rfam family "Bacterial small subunit ribosomal RNA", at positions 524 to 776 of the family's 1533-position model. The record is from RNAcentral.
UACGUAGGGGGCAAGCGUUAUCCGGAUUUACUGGGUGUAAAGGGAGCGUAGACGGCAUGGCAAGCCAGAUGUGAAAUACCGGGGCUCAACCCCGGGACUGCAUUUGGAACUGUUAAGCUGGAGUGUCGGAGAGGCAGGCGGAAUUCCUAGUGUAGCGGUGAAAUGCGUAGAUAUUAGGAGGAACACCAGUGGCGAAGGCGGCUUGCUGGACGAUAACUGACGUUGAGGCUCGAAAGCGUGGGGAGCAAACAGG